AGAGUUUGAUCCUGGCUCAGGAUGAACGCUAGCGGGAGGCUUAACACAUGCAAGUCGAGGGGUAACAGGAAGAAACUUCGGUUUUUUCGCUGACGACCGGCGAACGGGUGAGUAACGCGUAUGCAACCUGCCUUUUACAGAGGGAUAGCUUUCGGAAACGGAAAUUAAUACCUCAUAACACUAUAAGACGGCAUCGUUUUAUAGUUAAAACUACGGUGGUAAAAGAUGGGCAUGCGUAACAUUAGCUAGUUGGUAAGGUAACGGCUUACCAAGGCGACGAUGUUUAGGGGACCUGAGAGGGUGAUCCCCCACACUGGUACUGAGACACGGACCAGACUCCUACGGGAGGCAGCAGUGAGGAAUAUUGGUCAAUGGACGGAAGUCUGAACCAGCCAUCCCGCGUGCAGGAAGACGGCCCUAUGGGUUGUAAACUGCUUUUCUGAAGGAAGAAUAAUUACGAUGUAUCGUAAGACGACGGUACUUCAGGAAUAAGCAUCGGCUAACUCCGUGCCAGCAGCCGCGGUAAUACGGAGGAUGCAAGCGUUAUCCGGAUUCAUUGGGUUUAAAGGGUGCGUAGGCGGAAUGAUAAGUUAGUGGUGAAAGCCCCCGGCUCAACCGGGGAACUGCCAUUAAUACUGUCAUUCUUGAGUAUAGUUGAAGUGGGCGGAAUGUAUCAUGUAGCGGUGAAAUGCUUAGAUAUGAUACAGAACACCAAUAGCGUAGGCAGCUUGCUAAACUAUAACUGACGCUCAGGCACGAAAGCGUGGGGAGCAAACAGGAUUAGAUACCCUGGUAGUCCACGCCGUAAACGAUGAUCACUCGUUGUUGGCAAUACAUCGUCAGCGACU
Molecule: ribosomal RNA, 848 nt
Filed under: marine sediment metagenome
Description: bacterial SSU rRNA
Rfam family: Bacterial small subunit ribosomal RNA
Source: RNAcentral